CGCUAUCACUCCUACGGGGAGGCAGCAGUAGGGAAUCUUACCACAAUGGGCGCAAGCCUGAUGGAGCAACACCGCGUGAGUGAAGAAGGGUUUCGGCUCGUAAAGCUCUGUUGUUAAAGAAGAACACGUAUGAGAGUAACUGUUCAUACGUUGACGGUAUUUAACCAGAAAGUCACGGCUAACUACGUGCCAGCAGCCGCGGUAAUACGUAGGUGCCAAGCGUUAUCCGGAUUUAUUGGGCGUAAAGAGAGUGCAGGCGGUUUUCUAAGUCUGAUGUGAAAGCCUUCGGCUUAACCGGAGAAGUGCAUCGGAAACUGGAUAACUUGAGUGCAGAAGAGGGUAGUGGAACUCCAUGUGUAGCGGUGGAAUGCGUAGAUAUAUGGAAGAACACCAGUGGCGAAGGCGGCUACCUGGUCUGCAACUGACGCUGAGACUCGAAAGCAUGGGUAGCGAACAGGAUUAGAUACCCUGGUAG
Molecule: ribosomal RNA, 475 nt
Filed under: uncultured bacterium
Lineage: Bacteria
Description: bacterial SSU rRNA
Rfam family: Bacterial small subunit ribosomal RNA
Source: RNAcentral